This 844-nucleotide ribosomal RNA is filed under the name Lacticaseibacillus rhamnosus. Its description in RNAcentral is "bacterial SSU rRNA". It matches the Rfam family "Bacterial small subunit ribosomal RNA", at positions 98 to 929 of the family's 1533-position model. The record is from RNAcentral. Lineage: Bacteria; Bacillati; Bacillota; Bacilli; Lactobacillales; Lactobacillaceae.
GCGGACGGGUGAGUAACACGUGGGUAACCUGCCCUUAAGUGGGGGAUAACAUUUGGAAACAGAUGCUAAUACCGCAUAAAUCCAAGAACCGCAUGGUUCUUGGCUGAAAGAUGGCGUAAGCUAUCGCUUUUGGAUGGACCCGCGGCGUAUUAGCUAGUUGGUGAGGUAACGGCUCACCAAGGCAAUGAUACGUAGCCGAACUGAGAGGUUGAUCGGCCACAUUGGGACUGAGACACGGCCCAAACUCCUACGGGAGGCAGCAGUAGGGAAUCUUCCACAAUGGACGCAAGUCUGAUGGAGCAACGCCGCGUGAGUGAAGAAGGCUUUCGGGUCGUAAAACUCUGUUGUUGGAGAAGAAUGGUCGGCAGAGUAACUGUUGUCGGCGUGACGGUAUCCAACCAGAAAGCCACGGCUAACUACGUGCCAGCAGCCGCGGUAAUACGUAGGUGGCAAGCGUUAUCCGGAUUUAUUGGGCGUAAAGCGAGCGCAGGCGGUUUUUUAAGUCUGAUGUGAAAGCCCUCGGCUUAACCGAGGAAGUGCAUCGGAAACUGGGAAACUUGAGUGCAGAAGAGGACAGUGGAACUCCAUGUGUAGCGGUGAAAUGCGUAGAUAUAUGGAAGAACACCAGUGGCGAAGGCGGCUGUCUGGUCUGUAACUGACGCUGAGGCUCGAAAGCAUGGGUAGCGAACAGGAUUAGAUACCCUGGUAGUCCAUGCCGUAAACGAUGAAUGCUAGGUGUUGGAAGGUUUCCGCCCUUCAGUGCGCAGCUAACGCAUUAAGCAUUCCGCCUGGGGAGUACGACCGCAAGGUUGAAACUCAAAGGAAUUGACGGGGGCCGCCAAAG